RNAcentral lists this ribosomal RNA (465 nucleotides) under uncultured bacterium. RNAcentral describes it as "partial 16S ribosomal RNA". It matches the Rfam family "Bacterial small subunit ribosomal RNA", at positions 339 to 795 of the family's 1533-position model. The record is from RNAcentral.
CUACGGGCGGCUCCAGUCGAGAAUCAUUGUCAAUGCACGAAAGUGUGAACAUGCGACGCCGCGUGGAGGAAGACGGCCUUUGGGUUGUAAACUCCUGUCAGCAGGGAGGAAUUACGGAUUUGCUAACAUCAAAUCCGUUUGACAGUACCUGCAGAGGAAGUCACGGCUAACUCUGUGCCAGCAGCCGCGGUAAUACAGAGGUGGCGAACGUUGUUCGGAUUUACUGGGCGUAAAGGGUCCGCAGGCGGUCUUGUGUGUCGGAUGUGAAAGCUCACGGCUCAACCGUGGAAUUGCAUUCGAAACUGCAAGACUAGAGUACUGGAGGGGAGAAGGGAACACUUGGUGUAGCGGUGAAAUGCGUAGAUAUCAAGUGGAACACCGGCGGCGAAGGCGCUUCUCUGGACAGAUACUGACGCUCAUGGACGAAAGUUAGGGUAGCGAAAGGGAUUAGAUACCCGCGUAGUC